This 253-nucleotide ribosomal RNA is filed under the name uncultured bacterium. Its description in RNAcentral is "partial 16S ribosomal RNA". It matches the Rfam family "Bacterial small subunit ribosomal RNA", at positions 524 to 776 of the family's 1533-position model. The record is from RNAcentral.
GACGGAGGGUGCUAGCGUUGUUCGGAAUUACUGGGCGUAAAGGGCGCGUAGGCGGCUACGGCAGUCGGGUGUGAAAGCCCGGGGCUCAACCCCGGAACGGCACCCGAUACUCCGUGGCUCGAGACCGGGAGAGGAGGGUGGAAUACCCAGUGUAGAGGUGAAAUUCGUAGAUAUUGGGUGGAACACCGGUGGCGAAAGCGGCUCUCUGGCCCGGUUCUGACGCUGAGGCGCGAAAGCGUGGGGAGCAAACAGG